This 4467-nucleotide long non-coding RNA is filed under the name Sus scrofa (pig). RNAcentral describes it as "lncRNA (ENSSSCG00045014489.1)". Lineage: Eukaryota; Metazoa; Chordata; Mammalia; Artiodactyla; Suidae. The record is from RNAcentral.
UGGGGCCUUGCAAACAACCCUCUUGGCUUGGUCUUCUCUGUAUUUUCUCUGUCCCUGUGCCUCCAACCAACCCCCGAUGCUCUGGGCUCUUUCUGCAGAGCUCUGUCCCCUGCGUCUGGCUCUGAGCCCCUUCUUUCCUGCUGAAUUGGUUCUUAUUCUCAGCCUGCUAGCUCGUGGCCACCUCCCCAUCACCCUAGGGUUACCCCCGCCCCCCUUGUGUGUCCCCUAGCCCCUCUGGCCCUCUGACCCCCUCCCCAGGGCAUCCCAAUUCUCUGCUCAUCUCAUCUCACUUAAUUCCUAGUUCCUCUGCCCCCUUCACGUCCCUUGUCCUUCCUGUCGUGGCUCCCCUUGGGGUCCUUCUGAGGACCUCAGAGAGAGGAGAGUUAAGGCCCAGAAUUGGAGUAGGAAGGGGGAGUGGGUGUUACGAGGGCAGUUUCAUGGGGAUGGUGGGAACCGCGUGGGGUCCUGGAGGGUGUGCAGCUUCACAGUCACCUGUCACCUUCCACAAGAGUUAAUUUUCACCGGGAAGAAUGGGGUAACCUUGGCUUGGGAGAUCUUGGGGUCUUCCUUUGGCUUCCUGCUUGUGGGGAGCUCAGCCUCCUGCCAUUGCUCCUGUUAGGCUCCAUGCUAGUUAAGACCUUCAGAGCACACUAGGUCAAAGCUGAGCAUGCACAGGGGACUAAUUUUGGGCUGAAUGGAGGUUUGAGGGAGCCGGGGCUGUGAGCCCUGCAGCCAGUUGUGUCAACCCAUCGCAAUGGCCCCAGCUGGCUGGGUUCAGGCCAGGACUCCCCUUGGGAGCAGCUCCUUCUCUCUGAUGUCGUGCCCCUCUGCCCAAGUCUGUGGCCUGAGCGGGGCUGUCCACAGUUAGGGAGUAACUCGCCUGCUGUCUCCUCUCCCCGAUCCUGGCAGGUGAACAUCAUUCCCAUCAUUGCCAAGGCUGACACCAUCUCCAAGAGUGAACUCCACAAGUUCAAGAUCAAGAUCAUGGGCGAGCUGGUCAGCAAUGGGGUCCAGAUCUACCAGUUUCCCACUGAUGACGAGGCUGUUGCCGAGAUCAACGCAGUCAUGAAUGCACACCUGCCCUUUGCCGUGGUGGGCAGCACGGAGGAGGUGAAGGUGGGGAACAAGCUGGUGCGAGCACGGCAGUACCCGUGGGGAGUGGUGCAAGUGGAGAACGAGAAUCACUGCGACUUCGUGAAGCUCCGGGAGAUGCUGAUCCGGGUGAACAUGGAGAGCUGGGCUUCCAGGACAGCGACGGUGACAGCCAGCCCUUCAGCCUCCAGGAGACGUAUGAGGCCAAGAGGAAGGAGUUCCUGAGUGAGCUGCAGAGGAAGGAGGAAGAGAUGAGGCAGAUGUUUGUCAACAAAGUGAAGGAGACGGAGCUGGAGUUGAAGGAGAAGGAGAGAGAGCUCCACGAGAAGUUUGAGCACCUCAAGCGGGUCCACCAGGAGGAAAAGCGCAAAGUGGAGGAGAAGCGCCGCGAACUGGAGGAGGAGACCAGUGCCUUCAACCGCAGGAAGGCUGCAGUGGAGGCCCUGCAGUCCCAGGCCCUGCACGCCACCUCGCAGCAGCCUCUGAGGAAGGACAAGGACAAGAAGAAGUAGGUGGUGGGCUCCUGGCCCUGGGCUCGCUCCCACUCCCACUCCUUCUCGCCCCUUCUCAGCUCUCAUCUCGCUCCCUUUCAUUCUCACGUUCUCACCCCCCUCAUCUCUCGUUCUCACCCCCUCUCUUGUUCUCACUCCCUCUCAUCUCUCGUUCUCACCCCCUCUCGUCUCUCGUCCUCACCCCUUCUCUUGUUCUCACCCCCUUUCAUCUCUUGUUCUCACCCCCUCUCUCGUCCCCACCCCCUCUCUCGUCUCUCUUGUUCUCGCCCCCUCUGGUUUGUUCCUUCUCAUCGCCCCCUCUGUCUCCCUCUUUCUCACCGGUUCACCCCUUUGCUCUCUCCUUUCCCCUGCUCUCUCACCUCAGUCUCACUCAUCCUUCGUUUUCUUUCUCUGGUGGCCUUCAUGGACCAAGACCUCAAUCAAGCGCAGGCGCCCACCCUUGUCUUGGUGCAUGAGUGGCCCCUCUCCCUCCCCCAUCCCACAGCCCAUUACUCUCUCUCUCUCUCUCUCACUGUCUUUCUCCUGCAGCCCCUCAAGAGCUGGGUGGAGGAGGCCGGCCGCCCAGGCAGGGAGUGGCCCCUGAGAGGGUGUAGGCUCCUGGGGAACGUCUCUCAGGCCGGGAGAGGGUCAGGGCCUCGGCAUGGCAGCAUUUCUGGACAGAAUCCCAAAGCCCCUGUGGGUUCUCCUUGGGCGGCCGGGGUGCCGCCCCUCCGUCCUGAGGCUGUGGACGUGGUCCCCAUGUGGACAGGCAGGUGCUGACUGAGGACAGUGGAGCCCAGCCAGGCCUGACCCCCUGGACUCUGUGAUCACGGCCUGCUGAGGGAAGGGCCGCAGCUCCCGGUAGGGGCUCCCUGAGUCCUGCUGGGCAGAGGGGCUGCCCCUCGAGGAGAGGCUGGAGUUGUUCUUCUGAGAGUCAGGAGUUGACGGGGAGGAGAGAGAGGGGUGGGGGAUGGAGAGGAGGCCUUUCCCAGCCUCCAGGAGGCCUGGCAGCCUCCUGGCCAGGUGGGGGCCGCCCUAAGUCCCUCCUCCUCAGUGUUUUUCAUGGCCCGUUUCCACACUCAGAGCUGGCGCCCGGGUGCCCUGGCUUCCUCUCCCACCUCACUUCAUUCAGCGUCCCACACCCCGUCCCCCCGUGGGGAUCUCGUCCAUUCCUGCUUCUCCCUGCUCCUGGCCUGUGUCGGUAACUUCCUUCUCUUGCCUAUCUCGAAACUAAGCAGGCGUAUCCAUCUCGGCCCUCAGUCUUAUCCUCUUGGAAUCUCAUUUCCUCCUGGAAUGUUCGAGAAUGUGUAUGUCCAGGCCCUUCUUUCCUUGGUGGCAGUGGAGCGUUGUGGUUAGAGCCAUGCAGUGCAUAGCUAGCUGUGGCCCUGGGAUGCUGCUUGUGGCGUUAGCCCUCCCCUGCCCCCCAGCAUCGCGUUCCCUAACAUACGCACAUGCGUGACACGGGUACGCUGUCUUAGUCUCUCCUGCCGCAUCACACACAGAGACUCAGAUGCACGGCUACCAAUACACACAGUUCCCAGGACACACCUGCACAGAGGCACAGACACACCUAAGGAAAAGAAAGUUAAAGGGCUCCUCCCUCAGGGAAGGCCAGGAGGACAGAGCCAGGCAUUUAGGAACUAGAGGCUAGUUCUCAGUCUUCAGGCCUGUUUUCUGCUUUGGGACAGAGAGGCUUCUUGCUAUAGUUUCCCCAUCCUGCUGACUCAUGGCUCCAAUCCCCCUGCUGGCACUACUGGGGCAGAUAAGCCCCUGCCUGUCCUCAGGGAGGACCCCGGCCCCACACUCCCCUCAGCUGUAUCAGUUUCCCUUCGGCUUUGCCUUUGCUUCUAGCCCUGGUCCCAUGUCCAGCUCUGUGAAUUAGAACCUGUGUGGAUUUCAAGCUAGCAGCUCAGAAAUCUGGUUUCUCCUGGAAGGAGUAUGCCAGUCUGUGGCCCAGGUGCUGGCACCCCAAGAGACUUUGCCCUGUUCCUGCCAGCUUAGCCCAGGCCAUCUCCAUUAAAAAAAAAAAAAAAGGCAGAGUCCCCUAGGAAGCGAGAUGUGGAGAAACCUCUGAAAAACUGAAGACAAUAGAGUUCCCGUUGUGGCUCAGUGGUAAGGAAUCUGACUGGCAUCCACGAGGACGCAGGUUCGAUCCCUGGCCUCUGUCAGUGGGUUAAGGAUCCGGCGUUGCCAUAAGCUGUGAUGUAGGUCACAGAUGUGACUGGGAUCUGGCGUAGCUGUGGCUGUGCUGUAGGCCAAUAGCUGUGGCUCGGAUUCAGCCCCUAGCCUGGGAAUCUCCAGAUGCCGUGGGCAUGGCCCUAAAGAGAGGGAAAAAAAAAAAGCAAAAACCCCUAGAAAACUGAGGACGAGGACCUGUGGCUGGGUUAGGGUGUAAGGUCAGUGGGGUGGGGUCGGCCGGGUUCAAGGGCACCAGCACAGCUCAGGGUGGGGCUCAUCACUGGUGUCAGGUUUCCAGGCUUUUUUCAUGUGACCUGAGCCUGGAAAUAGGUCUUUUGUGUUGGCGGGACAUUCCAGAAAGCUUCAGUCAGUUUGGCCUCUGGGAGAGGGCCCUCUCCUCCCGUGUGGGCCUCGGGGAGGCCGGGAGCGGGGUGGAUGGGGUGGCCGGGAGCACCCUUCCCCCGGCCUGGUCAGGGCACCGGGGUGAGUCAGGAGUGCAUUUAGAGGGGCCUUUGGGGAUGCCCGUUUACUUGAAUGGCUUUGACCGAUUGUACUUAUUCGUCAAACCUUAAUCCCUUUUUGUAAAAUUACCUCCUAGUCGGAUCUGGACGCUCAGCCUGGGAUGCCAUAAACCGAAGCGAGUUCUCUGCUUUGCUCGUCCCAAAUGCCAAACUGACUGUCCUUUCCCAGUGUCCACCUUGCUGUC